Molecule: ribosomal RNA, 271 nt
Filed under: uncultured bacterium
Lineage: Bacteria
Description: partial 16S ribosomal RNA
Rfam family: Bacterial small subunit ribosomal RNA
Source: RNAcentral
UACGUAGGUGGCGAGCGUUACUCGGAAUUACUAGGCGUAAAGCGCGUGUAGGCGGGAGGUUAAGUUUGCUGUUAAAUCUCGUGGCUCAACCACGAAAUGUCGGCAAAUACUGGCUUUCUUGAAUUCGGUAGAGGAAACUGGAAUUCCAGGCGUAGCGGUGAAAUGCGUAGAUAUCUGGAAGAACGCCAAAGGCGAAGGCAGGUUUCUGGACCGCAAUUGACGCUGAGACGCGAAAGCUAGGGGAGCAAACAGGAUUAGAAACCCGGGUAGU